CCUCCCUCCCUCCCUUCCUUCCUUUCUUCAGUCUGGCCUGCAAUUUUUUUAUCCUCCUGCCUCCUGGAUGCUGGAAUUGCAGGCAUAUGACACUAUAUAAGGAACUCCCAGGAGAAGAAAAACUUUGGAUACCAUCAAAGUUAAUCAAGAUUCGAGUCGAAAAAGAAAAACCUUUCGAUGAGGAAAAAUGACAGGUAACAUACCAAGCCAAUGAAGACCUGCCCGACGGCAACCUCUGGAUGAUCUGGAAAGAAAAUGGGCCAUACCUCCUUGAGUACACUGGAUCCAACUUGUUUCAUUUCAACCAGAACUUCAGGUACUGACUUCAAUCAACACGAGAACUUCAAUCAAGGACUUCAACCUGGACCUUCAAUCAAGCAUCUCCCACCAGACACUGACUGGAUAUAACCCAUUCAGGACUUUUAUUACACUAACAUUUCUUCCCACAGGACCCUACAAGGCUGUCAUCCUCCCAGUUCAGCAGGAAGUAGCAUGGAAAAUGCUACUUUCCCCCUUUCCCCACUGUUGACACCUAUUUAGAGCUAGUUUCCAAUUGUUUAAGGUUGGGCUUGGUAGGAGGUGUUCAAGCUUGGACAUCUCUUUCAGAUGACUUUAAGGUUUAGUUGGAAUAGUUAUAGUUAAGAUGUGACAUCAGUAGAUUAUUAUAACUUCUUGUAAUUCACCCUUAUGAUUGUUAAAGAUAGAUAAUUUGGUGGGAUUCUAGGUGUGUGCCAGAAUUACUCCAGUGUAGGGAGACACUGUAGCCCCACCUCCUAGUAGCCUGGACAGGUGUGCUGGGACACGCCCUUAAGGGCGUGGUUAGGGGAAGUCUAAGGUGACGCAGGGAGGGUUCUUAAGGGACUGAGCACACAUGGGGACUCUUUUCCCUUCUUCCUUCUCUCCUGCCUGGCAAGUUUUGGCUUGCACCUGGCUGGUGUUAUCUGAAUAAAGAAAAC
This 956-nucleotide long non-coding RNA is filed under the name Cricetulus griseus (Chinese hamster). RNAcentral's name for it is "lncRNA (ENSCGRG00015032096.1)". Lineage: Eukaryota; Metazoa; Chordata; Mammalia; Rodentia; Cricetidae. The record is from RNAcentral.